Molecule: ribosomal RNA, 494 nt
Filed under: uncultured bacterium
Lineage: Bacteria
Description: partial 16S ribosomal RNA
Rfam family: Bacterial small subunit ribosomal RNA
Source: RNAcentral
GACGAACGCUGGCGGCGUGCUUAACACAUGCAAGUCGAACGGUGAAGCGCCUUCCUUUUUGGUGGGUGUGGAUGAGUGGCGAACGGGUGAGUAACACGUGAGUAACCUGCCCCCUUCUUCUGGAUAACCGCAUGAAAGUGUGGCUAAUACGGGAUAUUCUGGGUCUGUCGCAUGAUGGGUCUGGGAAAGAUAUUGUUUCGGUGGGGGAUGGGCUCGCGGCCUAUCAGCUUGUUGGUGGGGUGAUGGCCUACCAAGGCGGUGACGGGUAGCCGGCCUGAGAGGGUGGACGGUCACACUGGGACUGAGACACGGCCCAGCCUCCUACGGGAGGCAGCAGUGGGGAAUAGUGCACAAUGGGCGCAAGCCUGAUGCAGCGACGCCGCGUGAGGGAUGGAGGCCUCCGGGUUGUGAACCUCUUUCGCCAGUGAAGCAGGCCUGCCUCGUUUGUGGGUGGGUUGACGGUAGCUGGAUAAGAAGCGCCGGCUAACUACGUG